UGCCGCUGUAGCUUAGCUGGUAGAGCACUCGGCUGUUAACCGAGCGGUCGUCGGUUCGAAUCCGACCGGCGGCGUC
This 76-nucleotide transfer RNA is filed under the name Thermogymnomonas acidicola. RNAcentral's name for it is "tRNA-Asn". It matches the Rfam family "tRNA". From Rfam's summary of the family: Transfer RNA (tRNA) molecules are approximately 80 nucleotides in length. RNAcentral also lists the same sequence under 1 other name. The record is from RNAcentral. Lineage: Archaea; Methanobacteriati; Thermoplasmatota; Thermoplasmata; Thermoplasmatales.